RNAcentral lists this ribosomal RNA (497 nucleotides) under uncultured bacterium. RNAcentral's name for it is "partial 16S ribosomal RNA". It matches the Rfam family "Bacterial small subunit ribosomal RNA", at positions 28 to 507 of the family's 1533-position model. The record is from RNAcentral.
GAUGAACGCUGGCGGCGUGCCUAAUACAUGCAAGUCGAGCGAACAGACGAGGAGCUUGCUCCUCUGACGUUAGCGGCGGACGGGUGAGUAACACGUGGAUAACCUACCUAUAAGACUGGGAUAACUUCGGGAAACCGGAGCUAAUACCGGAUAACAUGUUGAACCGCAUGGUUCAACAAUGAAAGACGGUUUUGCUGUCACUUAUAGAUGGAUCCGCGUCGCAUUAGCUAGUUGGUAAGGUAACGGCUUACCAAGGCAACGAUGCGUAGCCGACCUGAGAGGGUGAUCGGCCACACUGGAACUGAGACACGGUCCAGACUCCUACGGGAGGCAGCAGUAGGGAAUCUUCCGCAAUGGGCGAAAGCCUGACGGAGCAACGCCGCGUGAGUGAAGAAGGUCUUCGGAUCGUAAAACUCUGUUAUUAGGGAAGAACAAAUGUGUAAGUAACUAUGCACGUCUUGACGGUACCUAAUCAGAAAGCCACGGCUAACUACGUG